Molecule: ribosomal RNA, 464 nt
Filed under: uncultured bacterium
Lineage: Bacteria
Description: partial 16S ribosomal RNA
Rfam family: Bacterial small subunit ribosomal RNA
Source: RNAcentral
CCUACGGGAGGCAGCAGUAGGGAAUUUUCGUCAAUGGGCGCAAGCCUGAACGAGCAAUGCCGCGUGAACGAGGAAGGUCUUCGGAUCGUAAAGUUCUGUUGAAGGGGAAAAAGAGCGGAGAGAGGAAAUGGUCUCCGAUUGAUAUUACCCUUCGAGGAAGUCACGGCUAACUACGUGCCAGCAGCCGCGGUAAUACGUAGGUGGCGAGCGUUAUCCGGAAUGAUUGGGCGUAAAGGGUGCGUAGGCGGCCUGCUAAGUCUGGAGUGAAAGGUACCGGCUCAACCGGUACAGGCUCUGGAAACUGGCGGGCUAGAGAGCAGGAGAGGGCGGUGGAACUCCAUGUGUAGCGGUAAAAUGCGUAGAUAUAUGGAAGAACACCAGUGGCGAAGGCGGCAAUCUGGCUGGAAACUGACGCUGAGGUGCGAAAGCGUGGGUAGCAAACAGGAUUAGAUACCCGUGUAGUC